GACGAACGCUGGCGGCGUGCCUAAUACAUGCAAGUCGAACGCUUCUUUCCUCCCGAGUGCUUGCACUCAAUUGGAAAGAGGAGUGGCGGACGGGUGAGUAACACGUGGGUAACCUACCCAUCAGAGGGGGAUAACACUUGGAAACAGGUGCUAAUACCGCAUAACAGUUUAUGCCGCAUGGCAUAAGAGUGAAAGGCGCUUUCGGGUGUCGCUGAUGGAUGGACCCGCGGUGCAUUAGCUAGUUGGUGAGGUAACGGCUCACCAAGGCCACGAUGCAUAGCCGACCUGAGAGGGUGAUCGGCCACACUGGGACUGAGACACGGCCCAGACUCCUACGGAAGGCAGCAGUAGGGAAUCUUCGGCAAUGGACGAAAGUCUGACCGAGCAACGCCGCGUGAGUGAAGAAGGUUUUCGGAUCGUAAAACUCUGUUGUUAGAGAAGAACAAGGACGUUAGUAACUGAACGUCCCCUGACGGUAUCUAACCAGAAAGCCACGGCUAACUACGUG
RNAcentral lists this ribosomal RNA (508 nucleotides) under uncultured bacterium. Its description in RNAcentral is "partial 16S ribosomal RNA". It matches the Rfam family "Bacterial small subunit ribosomal RNA", at positions 28 to 507 of the family's 1533-position model. The record is from RNAcentral.